CACCGUUUCAGUGGCAUUUAAGUCCCGGCGCUCCUCGGUCUAGGUGACGCGCAGUCGCCCCCCCAGGCGGCCCAGGAGGCGGCAGAAGCUGCGGUGGCUGCCAACGCAGCUUCACAGCUCUGGG
Non-coding RNA from Ochotona princeps (American pika), 124 nucleotides. The record is from Rfam. Lineage: Eukaryota; Metazoa; Chordata; Mammalia; Lagomorpha; Ochotonidae.